This 1451-nucleotide ribosomal RNA is filed under the name Streptococcus thermophilus. Its description in RNAcentral is "bacterial SSU rRNA". It matches the Rfam family "Bacterial small subunit ribosomal RNA". Lineage: Bacteria; Bacillati; Bacillota; Bacilli; Lactobacillales; Streptococcaceae. The record is from RNAcentral.
GGACGAGUGCGGGCAUGCUAUACAUGCAGUAGAACGCUGAAGAGAGGAGCUUGCUCUUCUUGGAUGAGUUGCGAACGGGUGAGUAACGCGUAGGUAACCUGCCUUGUAGCGGGGGAUAACUAUUGGAAACGAUAGCUAAUACCGCAUAACAAUGGAUGACACAUGUCAUUUAUUUGAAAGGGGCAAUUGCUCCACUACAAGAUGGACCUGCGUUGUAUUAGCUAGUAGGUGAGGUAAUGGCUCACCUAGGCGACGAUACAUAGCCGACCUGAGAGGGUGAUCGGCCACACUGGGACUGAGACACGGCCCAGACUCCUACGGGAGGCAGCAGUAGGGAAUCUUCGGCAAUGGGGGCAACCCUGACCGAGCAACGCCGCGUGAGUGAAGAAGGUUUUCGGAUCGUAAAGCUCUGUUGUAAGUCAAGAACGGGUGUGAGAGUGGAAAGUUCACACUGUGACGGUAGCUUACCAGAAAGGGACGGCUAACUACGUGCCAGCAGCCGCGGUAAUACGUAGGUCCCGAGCGUUGUCCGGAUUUAUUGGGCGUAAAGCGAGCGCAGGCGGUUUGAUAAGUCUGAAGUUAAAGGCUGUGGCUCAACCAUAGUUCGCUUUGGAAACUGUCAAACUUGAGUGCAGAAGGGGAGAGUGGAAUUCCAUGUGUAGCGGUGAAAUGCGUAGAUAUAUGGAGGAACACCGGUGGCGAAAGCGGCUCUCUGGUCUGUAACUGACGCUGAGGCUCGAAAGCGUGGGGAGCGAACAGGAUUAGAUACCCUGGUAGUCCACGCCGUAAACGAUGAGUGCUAGGUGUUGGAUCCUUUCCGGGAUUCAGUGCCGCAGCUAACGCAUUAAGCACUCCGCCCUGGGGAGUACGACCGCAAGGUUGAAACUCAAAGGAAUUGACGGGGGCCCGCACAAGCGGUGGAGCAUGUGGUUUAAUUCGAAGCAACGCGAAGAACCUUACCAGGUCUUGACAUCCCGAUGCUAUUUCUAGAGAUAGAAAGUUACUUCGGUACAUCGGUGACAGGUGGUGCAUGGUUGUCGUCAGCUCGUGUCGUGAGAUGUUGGGUUAAGUCCCGCAACGAGCGCAACCCCUAUUGUUAGUUGCCAUCAUUCAGUUGGGCACUCUAGCGAGACUGCCGGUAAUAAACCGGAGGAAGGUGGGGAUGACGUCAAAUCAUCAUGCCCCUUAUGACCUGGGCUACACACGUGCUACAAUGGUUGGUACAACGAGUUGCGAGUCGGUGACGGCGAGCUAAUCUCUUAAAGCCAAUCUCAGUUCGGAUUGUAGGCUGCAACUCGCCUACAUGAAGUCGGAAUCGCUAGUAAUCGCGGAUCAGCACGCCGCGGUGAAUACGUUCCCGGGCCUUGUACACACCGCCCGUCACACCACGAGAGUUUGUAACACCCGAAGUCGGUGAGGUAACCUUUGGAGCCAGCCGCCUAAGUGGACAG